AGAGUGGACCCCUGAAGCUCACUGAAGCAGUGCCCCCUGGUGGCCAGUGUAAGAACCACAUCGCCAUCGCCUGAGCCUUUGUCUCUUCACGAAUCUCAGUGGUUCUGUUUAAAGCAUGGAUGCCCUCGAGCCUAGGGCUGGGCCUGUGGUCACCGCUGGAGAGCAGAUGAUGCAGAUGCUGAAGACCGACGUGCCUGGGUCCCCCUGCCGCCCUGACCCCACGCUCUGUGGGCGCGUCUCUGGAAGAAGCCUGGAGACAAAUAUUGGAGCUUCUGGUGCUGCUGGUGACCACCCCCAGGACCACCCCCGCGCAGCUGGUGUCCCCACGUGGUCGCGUGGCUGCCUGCCUGCCAGUCAUCAGCCUCGGUGGCUGGGUUUGCGUCCUGAGUCUGAGAGCGACUGGUGCCUUGUUCAAGACCAAGAUAGCCAAGAGCUUGACAUGUGCCCGUUUCCCAGUAAUCACGGAAACGGCAGCCUUGGGCACGGUGCUGAGAGCGAAGAGAAGUGACCACAGAGUUACUGCAGGGGAUUUCCUCCCGUGGAUUCUGUGAUAGCUGCGUGUUUGCAAGAAAGAGGGAUCUCGUGUCUGUGGCUGUGAACGUAGUGCCGACCUCCUGUUAGUCAGUAGACCCCCUUUGAAAGGCCACAGGAAAGCUGGUGUCGCCGACCACCGCUGUGUCUCUGUCCUCUGUAUGUUCGUGGCCCCCGAGUCCUGCCUGCGUGCUGAGUAUCUGCUGCUCUCCCGUGCGUCCGGGAAAUCUCCACAUAGAUGUUAGAUAUUUCGUAUGUUCUCCUUAGCCUUUGUAAUCAAGAUUUUAGCAGUAUUUUCAAUCCGCAAAGUUAAAGCAUUAAACGAGUUGUAGAAAUGACUACAGAUGAAGAACACCAUGUAUUUUGUUAAAUAUGUUACAAGGUUAAACACUUACUCACUGGAACCAUAAAGAGUAGACCAAGUGUAUUGUAUCCACUCGUAGUUUGAUGUAGAUAAUGAAAUGUAAUCGUUACUCAUUGCCUGAGCCAGUUGCAGACUCCAACUUUGUUUCAUUAACUAGAAAUUACUCUGCACCGUUCAGAGAGGGGGUGCCGCAGGUGAAACCCUUUUCUCCAUUGUGGCCAGUCCUGGCCAAUUCCCGGCACCCAUCUGUUCCCCCAAGCACCACCAGGAGUGACCCCUGAGCACAGAGCCAGGAGUAAACCCUGCAAACCACCAGAUGUGGUCCACAAUCCCAAGAUAAAUAAAUAAUCUUUAUAAAUUAGUAAAUGCCUAAUGAUUAGAAAGAAAUGGAAAUUUAUUAGUAAAUGCCUAAUGAUUAGAAAGAAAUGGAAAUUUAUUAGUAAAUGCCCAAUGAUUUGAAGUAAAUUAGAAACUGCAAAUCUGUCCUUGGUGUGGACAUAUAAAUUGUUGUCACCAUCAAGAUUGCUACCUUGCUUUCACGAUAGACGUGAAAGAAAGCAAGGAAUGGUUAAAUGCGUUCUUCUGGCUGGCUCAUUUAAUGAGAGGUAUUCAUAGUAGUAUUGUAAGUAUAAUCAUCACAUAAUAUAUAGUUAUCAGUAAAAAAAAUGGGCCGUUGUGCAAUAAUCCAUAUUAUACAUGUCGCGAGGUUGAUGGUUUGUAGCGCUGUGAGCGUGAGCUGUGUGGACCGGUGCUGGCGUCAGAGGCUCUGACGGUCAGGCCCGGCUGUGUUCUUCAGAUGUUGUAAAGCUUGUCUUUGUUUUUGUUUUGCGUGGCUCUAUAUGUACUUUUGUGAAUAUUAAUGGCUAACAGCACUAUUACGGAAAUAUAAAGGAGAAAGUGUGAAGCAUUGUGCAACUAUGAACAUAUGUGGAGAGACAACGUAUAUUCUAAAUAAAAAUAUAAAACACUGAA
Long non-coding RNA from Sorex fumeus (smoky shrew), 1867 nucleotides. RefSeq lists it as uncharacterized. The transcript has 4 exons. The record is from RefSeq and is a predicted model, not a curated record. NCBI's taxonomy places the organism in Eukaryota, Metazoa, Chordata, Mammalia, Eulipotyphla, Soricidae.